This 253-nucleotide ribosomal RNA is filed under the name uncultured bacterium. RNAcentral's name for it is "partial 16S ribosomal RNA". It matches the Rfam family "Bacterial small subunit ribosomal RNA", at positions 524 to 776 of the family's 1533-position model. The record is from RNAcentral.
UACGUAGGGGGCUAGCGUUGUCCGGAAUCAUUGGGCGUAAAGCGCGUGUAGGCGGUCCGGUAAGUCCGCUGUGAAAGUCGGGGGCUCAACCCUCGAAUGCCGGUGGAUACUGUCGGGCUAGAGUCCGGAAGAGGCGAGUGGAAUUCCUGGUGUAGCGGUGAAAUGCGCAGAUAUCAGGAGGAACACCGAUGGCGAAGGCAGCUCGCUGGGACGGUACUGACGCUGAGGCGCGAAAGCGUGGGGAGCAAACAGG